Gasterosteus aculeatus aculeatus (three-spined stickleback) is the source of this 656-nucleotide long non-coding RNA. Lineage: Eukaryota; Metazoa; Chordata; Actinopteri; Perciformes; Gasterosteidae. The record is from Ensembl.
GACGAGGAGCUGCAUUUUCGUGUGGGGGCGAAAAAGAUGAAUAUUUUACUCCGAGACUAAAAAAAGACAUGCUGGUAUAGAAAGCAGCUAUCGCCAUGGCAACCGUAACAAGUUUAAGAUAACAGCGUUUCACGCAUUCUGAGGGAGGCGCCUUUAAUUACGUUUAUCCAUUAGACGAGGUCGCACAACGGGUUGAGGGACGAAAGCGUCGGCCCGGCGGCUGUCAGAAGUGGUUCUACGUGAACGAACACAACUUUCAUUACUUAUGAAGUGUUCUCUCGCUCGUCACAAACGCAAUGUGUGCCCGUAGGACGUCCGGAGGGUAGGUGAAGCUUCUUUUUCGGUUGUUCAUUCGUUGCACGUUUGUUAGUUCAUGAUCAGCGUGACGAUUCUGAAAGAUUUCCCUAAACUGAUUUCGCUGCUUUCUCUCAUCUUUAAUUUGGCCCAAGAGCAACACAUCAGUUUAGAGGGAAUCCGUCAAAAACUCACAGACAUCUGAAAAGAGGCUUCAACUAAACAUCACAAAGGCAAACAUUUUGGAGCCAAUUUGGGGAGUCGUCUGAUUCUACUCUUAGCUCACAACACAGCUGAUUGCAUCGCCGACCCCCAGAAACGGCGCCGCGCCAAAAGACACAUCUGGGGAAAAUAUUCUUCCU